Molecule: ribosomal RNA, 481 nt
Filed under: Aphelenchus sp. 1 MK-2017
Lineage: Eukaryota; Metazoa; Nematoda; Chromadorea; Rhabditida; Aphelenchidae
Description: SSU rRNA
Rfam family: Eukaryotic small subunit ribosomal RNA
Source: RNAcentral
UGGGAGGGCAAGUCUGGUGCCAGCAGCCGCGGUAAUUCCAGCUCUCAAAAUGCAUAGAAUUAUUGCUGCGGUUAAAAAGCUCGUAGUUGGAUCUGUGCUGGGAACUGGGUCCGCCUUCGGGUGUGCACUCAGCUUCCCGGCUUUUUGCUGGUUUUCCCGUUGUGGCCUUUACCGGUUGCAGCGGGUGGCUGGCGAGUUUACCUUGAAGAAAUCAAAGUGCUUAAUACAGGCGAUUUGCUUGAAUGUGGUGCAUGGAAUAAUAGAAAAGGAUUUCGGUUCUCUUUUAUUGGUUUUACGAGCUGAGAUAAUGGUUAACAGAGACAAACGGGGGCAUUCGUAUCGUUGCGUGAGAGGUGAAAUUCUUGGACCGCAGCGAGACGAACUACAGCGAAAGCAUUUGCCAAGAAUGUCUUCAUUAAUCAAGAACGAAAGUCAGAGGUUCGAAGGCGAUCAGAUACCGCCCUAGUUCUGACCGUAAAAA